AUCUUAACCUUGGGGGGUCUCCCUCCCCUCCCCUCAUGUUAAUUCCCUGCACAGUGCCCACCACUGGGAAACAUUUCCUGUCGGUCCCUUCACUUUAUUUAGGCCCUUCUAAGCAAGGGCCUGUCCCUGUCUGGUCCUUGCUGUCACUGACUGUUUUCUCCAGGCUGGGGCUUUCCUUUCCAUUCCUCUCCUAUGCCUGUUUCCCUUGUGUCAACUUUCCCAGAAUAGGGCAUAAGCGACUUCCAGUUGGCAACAUCAGGGGCCCUGGCCAGCCCCAAACCUCUUUACUGGGCUGUUCCCGAGGUAUCGCUCUGGAAAUGCCCCAUGCCUGGCCUUCCCAGGUGGGUCGCCCUCACUGCCACCCCCCUCGUCCCCAGUGCUCCUCAGUCAGGGGUUCCCCUCUCCUGCUGAGGGCACUGUGGUGCGCAGCCAAUCGGGGUCCUUCCUGUGAAGGGAGGAGCUGUCCACUAACACUAAGCUUCCUGCCUGCCAGACAUCUGGAAGGCCAUUAGCUCCAACAGCAAGGUGGCACACCUGCAAGGCCCUGCAGGAGAGUGUGCCACCCCCGGGGCAGGCUGCACGGGAACGGGCAAGCCUAGCUGUGGCCUCAGUUGAGCUCUAAGCGGGGUCCACUGAAGCAGCACCCAUAUCUUCCCCAGCUGGAUCCCCCAACUGCCCACAUUGGGCCCCUGACCAUACCCCUCCCCUGGCCCCUCUCCCUCUGCCCCAGGUGCCACCAUUCCAGCCUGCCUAGGCCCUGGCCAGGACACAUUACCCUUACAAACACAGGCCUCAUGGGCUCCUAGGGGAAAAUGCUCUUUUGUCUUUUGUAUUUCACUUCUUAUCAGAGGAGAAAUCAUCCCAAAAAGGAUACAGAUGCAAGGGGCUCUUCCCAAAGAGGCCUGGCCUGGGCGGCUGGGGGUGUGGCCUGGCUUGGGGCCUGGGAAAGGGGGUAGAGGCCUGUGUCUAGAGCCCUGUUCUGUCUCACGGGGAACGGUGAGAUCUGAUCAUUCUGGGCCACUUGAUCUCCCCCGGAGGGUCAGGGUUCCUCUAUUGUAAUGGGGCCCUAACUUAAAGCCCCUGAAGUGAGCUGGCCUGAGAUUUUAUAGGUCUCCAAGAAGGAAUGAUGGCAGAAGGGCAGACAGCACCCAUCCUGCCACUGGGAACCUUCCUGGGGCAAUGCCAGGCCACUGGCAGCUCCCCCCAUUCUCCCCAUGCUCCUCCCUCAGACCCCCCAUUGUCCAUGAAACCCAAGCUCUCGGCCUCCUGUAUCCAGCAAUGACUGACCCCAUCCCCCUGGCUGCCAGGGCACCCUCUGCACCUGCAAAGCUGGGAACGACUAGAGCAGGUGUGAGGGACCUCGCAGGCCCUCUCCACAGGGAGAUAGGGCUGCCUUCUCACACAUCCCUAUGGCCAACCUCCCUGACAUGGAGGAGGGAGGGAAGGCGUGAGGUACACAGAGAUGAAGGGAGUGGGGAGGUGGCACUUGUGGGCCUGAUGCCCAGAAAGACGGGAGGUGGGUGGGGGGGUCGGGGCUGUGUUUUUGGUGGCACCUGUUUUGGGUCUUUUCAUGAGCUGGCCCCUCCCUGGGUUUUCAAGAGCUGCUCAGAUCACAACAGGGGGAAUUGGGAGGGAGUGUGGGGAAACUGGACAGAACUGGCACAUACACGACAGAUGUUUGCUCAGAGAAAAAUACAGUAAGAUCAUCAUGCAAAUAUAACGGAAAGUCUGCUUCUCACGCCACUGGCUUCCCAGCCUGCAUGUCUCCAUUUUGCCACCUGGGUGUGGGGAGGGGUCGAGGGCCAAGUCUGGGGGUUGGGGAGGUCUGCCUGCACAUCCAUGCCAGCCCAACUCCUCUGCUCCCAGGAACAGUCCCCUCCUUUGCAAAUGUCACCCCCUAGAGCGAGCCCUGGGCUCAGCCAAACCCAAGUUGAUGUGACAGAGGUGUUCAGUGGAGACCCCCAGCCCUCCUCCCAACCCCCCACUCCAGCACUAGGGGCCAGUGGCUCCCCCAGGGAUGGCACUAGCUUUCCUGGUCAGAGCCCCCUGCCCACAGUACGGGUCUCAGUCCCACCCCAGCAUCUACCCUCACCCCACAGUCUCAGUCCUGUCUGGAGAAGCCCAAGAGGGUGACAGGCCAGGAGCUGGGGAUCCCGGCAGGGACGUGGGGAAGCACAGAAGGCUCCCCCAUCCCGAGGUGGGUAGGGCGCUGGGGGCACAUCGGCAGGUGGGCAAAGCCGCCCGUAGAAUCACCCCCCACACACACACCUCCUACACAGGGGAAGGGACCAUAUCUCAGCCCCCAACCUGCUGACUGCUCAAGACCCCAAAAUUGCUCCUCGCUGGAACUUGUCCGCAGAAACCCCCGCUCUUGAGAAAGGCAGCCACAGCCCAGCCCUGCCCUCUGUCACCGCCCUCCGCUGCCGCCCACACUGAGAGAACCCCAGAGCCCAACGGUUGGUGGCUCUGAGACCAACUGCCAGGCACCGGGUUGCCAUGGAGACUGGGCCAGCUAGGGAGGGAGGGGAGCCCUCAAACUCAGCCUGCUCCCCCACCCCAGGGCAAUGAGGGGACCUCACUGUUUGUGCUUUGUUCGAUGUUGGGUAGGGGUCAGAGGGAAAGUGGCCGUUUCCAUGGAAACAUGGGAGCCCCUCUGGCCAGGAGGUGAGGCAAGGAUGGGUUGGCAGGCACCUUUCCUUCCUGUGGGCAAGCCGAGACCUGCCCAGAGACCCCACAGAGGGGGCCAGGCGGGGCUAGGAUGCAGGGUGCAGACGGGAAGCCCCCCACCAUUCUAUCACCUCCCCUACUGCCCCCAGGCAUCACACUUCACUGUCGUCCCUCUGGGUGGGUAGGGGUCCCCCUAGGCCCAGAGAAGCUGGGGGCCGUGGGUGUGGAGCCUGCACCUGAGAUGCCAUGGGAGCUGGUCUGCCCCACAUGCCCACCCCCAGGCAGCUCCCGGGCUACGUGGAAGACACUUGAAGGAGGUUGGUGGCCUGUCCUUGCCUCUGCUCCCUUCCUACUGGGGACCCCAUAGGGUUAGGAGCCACAGCCCGACCCUGAGGGCACGUCCAUGGGGCUUGCGAGGGAGGAAAAGCACCUGCCUGAUUCUCGAAUCCCUCAGCCCCAAGGGACCUCAGCUUUGGAUGGGGCGAUGAGUGGACCAGCUGAGGGGCCCAGGGGAGCAGUCGGGCAGGGGCAGCACUGGGCUGGGAAGGCAGGAGCCUGAGACUAAUCUGCUGUGUGACCCAAGGGAUUACCACUUCUUUUCCCUGGGCCAUCCAAGAGGAAGGAAAUAAUGUCCAUCCGGUGACCUGAUCCCCAUCUUGGGGGCUUCAGUCCAGCUCUACCUCAGUCUCCUUGGUCCCCAAUCCCGUCUCUAGUCCCAGCUCCCCCCGGCCCCAUUCUCCUGGCUUCCCACGUCGCCUGUCCCUGUCCCCAGCCCCAUACACCCCGGCAGAGUCCCUGGGCAGCACAGUAAAGACGCCUGGUUUCGGUAUCAGUUUGUAAACUUUAAGGAAAGCGUGUCUUCGCAUUUUCCUGUCCAUUAUUGUCGGGUGUUGGUUGGUUCACAGUCAGGUGGUGGUCAGGUGUGUGU
Molecule: long non-coding RNA, 3595 nt
Organism: Heterocephalus glaber (naked mole-rat)
Lineage: Eukaryota; Metazoa; Chordata; Mammalia; Rodentia; Bathyergidae
Source: Ensembl